Molecule: ribosomal RNA, 464 nt
Filed under: Vreelandella stevensii
Lineage: Bacteria; Pseudomonadati; Pseudomonadota; Gammaproteobacteria; Oceanospirillales; Halomonadaceae
Description: partial 16S ribosomal RNA
Rfam family: Bacterial small subunit ribosomal RNA
Source: RNAcentral
CCUACGGAGUGCUGCAGUGGGGAAUAUUGGACAAUGGGCGAAAGCCUGAUCCAGCCAUGCCGCGUGUGUGAAGAAGGCCUUCGGGUUGUAAAGCACUUUCAGUGGGGAAGAAAGCCUUGGGGCUAAUACCCUCGAGGAAGGACAUCACCCACAGAAGAAGCACCGGCUAACUCCGUGCCAGCAGCCGCGGUAAUACGGAGGGUGCGAGCGUUAAUCGGAAUUACUGGGCGUAAAGCGCGCGUAGGCGGUCUGAUAAGCCGGUUGUGAAAGCCCCGGGCUCAACCUGGGAACGGCAUCCGGAACUGUCAGGCUAGAGUGCAGGAGAGGAAGGUAGAAUUCCCGGUGUAGCGGUGAAAUGCGUAGAGAUCGGGAGGAAUACCAGUGGCGAAGGCGGCCUUCUGGACUGACACUGACGCUGAGGUGCGAAAGCGUGGGUAGCAAACAGGAUUAGAUACCUAGUAGUC